This 210-nucleotide non-coding RNA is filed under the name Eurypyga helias (sunbittern). Its description in RNAcentral is "Eukaryotic small subunit ribosomal RNA". It matches the Rfam family "Eukaryotic small subunit ribosomal RNA", at positions 1 to 207 of the family's 1831-position model. The record is from Rfam by way of RNAcentral. Lineage: Eukaryota; Metazoa; Chordata; Aves; Eurypygiformes; Eurypygidae.
UACCUGGUUGAUCCUGCCAGUAGCAUAUGCUUGUCUCAAAGCUUAAGCCAUGCAUGUCUAAGUACACACGGGCGGUACAGUGAAACUGCGAAUGGCUCAUUAAAUCAGUUAUGGUUCCUUUGGUCGCUCCUCUCCCGCUCCUUGGAUAACUGUGGUAAUUCUAGAGCUAAUACAUGCCGACGAGCGCCGACCUCCGGGGACGCGUGCAUU